Molecule: ribosomal RNA, 248 nt
Filed under: uncultured bacterium
Lineage: Bacteria
Description: partial small subunit ribosomal RNA
Rfam family: Bacterial small subunit ribosomal RNA
Source: RNAcentral
AGGACGAACGCUGGCGGCGUGCUUAACACAUGCAAGUCGAACGGUAAGGCCCUUCGGGGUGCACGAGUGGCGAACGGGUGAGUAACACGUGGGUGAUCUGCCCUGCACUUCGGGAUAAGCUUGGGAAACUGGGUCUAAUACCGGAUAUGACUACGAAUCGCAUGGUUUGUGGUGGAAAGCUUUUGCGGUGUGGGAUGGGCCCGCGGCCUAUCAGCUUGUUGGUGGGGUGAUGGCCUACCAAGGCGACG